GUAGGUAACCUGCCUUGUAGCGGGGGAUAACUAUUGGAAACGAUAGCUAAUACCGCAUAACAAUGGAUGACACAUGUCAUUUAUUUGAAAGGGGCAAUUGCUCCACUACAAGAUGGACCUGCGUUGUAUUAGCUAGUAGGUGAGGUAAUGGCUCACCUAGGCGACGAUACAUAGCCGACCUGAGAGGGUGAUCGGCCACACUGGGACUGAGACACGGCCCAGACUCCUACGGGAGGCAGCAUG
This 243-nucleotide ribosomal RNA is filed under the name uncultured bacterium. RNAcentral's name for it is "partial 16S ribosomal RNA". It matches the Rfam family "Bacterial small subunit ribosomal RNA", at positions 117 to 353 of the family's 1533-position model. The record is from RNAcentral.